UGGGCGGAAGCCUGACGCAGCGACGCCGCGUGGGGGAUGACGGCCUUCGGGUUGUAAGCCUCUUUCGCCAUCGACGAAGCCCUUCGGGGUGACGGUAGGUGGAGAAGAAGCACCGGCCAACUACGUGCCAGCAGCCGCGGUAAU
This 144-nucleotide ribosomal RNA is filed under the name uncultured Pseudonocardia sp. RNAcentral's name for it is "partial 16S ribosomal RNA". It matches the Rfam family "Bacterial small subunit ribosomal RNA", at positions 372 to 524 of the family's 1533-position model. Lineage: Bacteria; Bacillati; Actinomycetota; Actinomycetes; Pseudonocardiales; Pseudonocardiaceae. The record is from RNAcentral.